ACGGAAAGGCCCUGCUUGCAGGGUACUCGAGUGGCGAACGGGUGAGUAACACGUGGGUGAUCUGCCCUGCACUUCGGGAUAAGCUUGGGAAACUGGGUCUAAUACCGGAUAGGAGCCAUCUUUAGUGUGGUGGUUGGAAAGUUUUUUCGGUGUAGGAUGAGCUCGCGGCCUAUCAGCUUGUUGGUGGGGUAAUGGCCUACCAAGGCGGCGACGGGUAGCCGGCCUGAGAGGGUGUACGGCCACAUUGGGACUGAGAUACGGCCCAGACUCCUACGAGAGGCAGCAGUGGGGAAUAUUGCACAAUGGGCGCAAGCCUGAUGCAGCGACGCCGCGUGGGGGAUGAAGGCCUUCGGGUUGUAAACUCCUUUCGCUAGGGACGAAGCUUUGUGUGACGGUACCUAGAUAAGAAGCACCGGCUAACUACGUGCCAGCAGCCGCAGUAAUACGUAGGGUGCGAGCGUUGUCCGGAAUUACUGGGCGUAAAGAGCUCGUAGGUGGUUUGUCGCGUCGUCUGUGAAAUUCUGGGGCUUAACUCCGGGCGUGCAGGCGAUACGGGCAUAACUUGAGUGCUGUAGGGGUAACUGGAAUUCCUGGUGUAGCGGUGAAAUGCGCAGAUAUCAGGAGGAACACCGAUGGCGAAGGCAGGUUACUGGGCAGUUACUGACGCUGAGGAGCGAAAGCAUGGGUAGCGAACAGGAUUAG
RNAcentral lists this ribosomal RNA (702 nucleotides) under uncultured Actinomycetales bacterium. Its description in RNAcentral is "bacterial SSU rRNA". It matches the Rfam family "Bacterial small subunit ribosomal RNA", at positions 66 to 781 of the family's 1533-position model. Lineage: Bacteria; Bacillati; Actinomycetota; Actinomycetes; Actinomycetales. The record is from RNAcentral.